GGGCCUGUAGCUCAGUGGUAGAGCAUCGGCUUUGCAAGCCGAGGGUCAGGGGUUCGAAUCCCCUCAGGUCCACCA
This 75-nucleotide transfer RNA is filed under the name bacterium. RNAcentral describes it as "tRNA-Ala". It matches the Rfam family "tRNA". From Rfam's summary of the family: Transfer RNA (tRNA) molecules are approximately 80 nucleotides in length. Their secondary structure includes four short double-helical elements and three loops (D, anti-codon, and T loops). RNAcentral also lists the same sequence under 2 other names. The record is from RNAcentral.